GUUUGUGAAUCUACCAGCACUAAUGCACCGGAUCCCAUCAGAACUCCGAAGUUAAACGUGCUUGGGCAAGAGUAGUACUAAGAUGGGUGACCUCUUGGGAAGUCCUCGUGUUGCACCCC
This 119-nucleotide ribosomal RNA is filed under the name Ricinus communis (castor bean). The record is from RNAcentral. Lineage: Eukaryota; Viridiplantae; Streptophyta; Magnoliopsida; Malpighiales; Euphorbiaceae.